AUGAAGGAAUAUCUACACUACCCGAAUUGAAUCAAAUACAAUUUGAAGGGUUUUCUAGAUUCAUUGAUCGGGGAUUAGCAUAAGAACUUUUAAAGUUUCCAAAAAUAGAAUAUACAGAUCAAGAAAUAGAAUUUUAGUUAUUUGUGGAAGAGCUAAAAGUCUAAUCUUGUGCCAGUAUACAAACCAAGGGAUAAUCUUAGUUAGACAGUUUCUAUGGGGCGUAGCCCUCCCAAAAGGUAACUGAGGCGUGCAAAGGUUUCCUCUGGCCAAACGGAGAUUGGCCCUCGAGUGCAAAGGCAAAAGGAGCUUGACUACAAGACCCACCCAUCAAGCAGGGACAAAAUUCAGCCUUAGUGAUCUAAUGGUGCCGAGUGGAAGGGUCGUCGCUCAACGGAUAAAAGUUACUCUAAGGAUAACACGUUGAUCUUUCCCAAGAGUUCACAUCGACGGCAAGGUUUGGCACCUCGAUGUCGGCGCUUCGCCACUUGGAGCUGUAGUAGGUUCCAAGCGCUGGAAUGUUUGCUCAUUAAAGCAGUAUGUGAGUUGGGUUGAGAACGUCGUGAAAUAGUUCGGUCCAUAUUUGGUGUAGGCGUUAGAGCAUUGAGAGGACCUUUUCCUAGUACGAGAGGACCGGGACGGACGCACCUCUGGUGUAUCAAUUAUCAUGCAAACGGUAAACAAUGGGUAGCCAAGUGUGGAUCGGAUAACUAUUGAAAGCAUCUAAGUAGUACGCCCACCCAAGAUUAGUGUUAUCCUAUUCCGACUUCCCCAGAGCCUCUGGUAUCACUGCAAAAGAUCCCAAAGCAUGCGAGGGUGGAACAAAAGAGGUUUUGAGAAUUCAAGAGAAGGUCACAGCGAGACAAGCCGUUUUUCAUUAACGACAUGUGUCAAGUGGAAGUGGAGUAAUGUAUGCAUGUGAGGCAUUCUAACAGACCGG
This 937-nucleotide non-coding RNA is filed under the name Cicer arietinum (chickpea). RNAcentral's name for it is "Bacterial large subunit ribosomal RNA". The stretch from base 1 to 772 matches the Rfam family "Bacterial large subunit ribosomal RNA", at positions 2136 to 2925 of the family's 2925-position model. Lineage: Eukaryota; Viridiplantae; Streptophyta; Magnoliopsida; Fabales; Fabaceae. The record is from Rfam by way of RNAcentral.